AUUGAACGCUGGCGGCAUGCUUUACACAUGCAAGUCGAACGGUAACAGGCCGCAAGGUGCUGACGAGUGGCGAACGGGUGAGUAAUGCAUCGGAACGUGCCCAGUCGUGGGGGAUAACUACUCGAAAGAGUAGCUAAUACCGCAUACGAUCUAUGGAUGAAAGCGGGGGACCGUAAGGCCUCGCGCGAUUGGAGCGGCCGAUGUCAGAUUAGGUAGUUGGUGGGGUAAAGGCUCACCAAGCCAACGAUCUGUAGCUGGUCUGAGAGGACGACCAGCCACACUGUGACUGAGACACGCCCCAGACUCCUACGGGCGGCAGCAGUGGGGAAUUUUGGACAAUGGGCGCAAGCCUGAUCCAGCAAUGCCGCGUGCAGGAAGAAGGCCUUCGGGUUGUAAACUGCUUUUGUACGGAACGAAACGGCUCUGGUUAAUACCCGGGGCUAAUGACGGUACCGUAAGAAUAAGCACCGGCUAACUACGUG
This 482-nucleotide ribosomal RNA is filed under the name uncultured bacterium. RNAcentral describes it as "partial 16S ribosomal RNA". It matches the Rfam family "Bacterial small subunit ribosomal RNA", at positions 30 to 507 of the family's 1533-position model. The record is from RNAcentral.